GACGAACGCUGGCGGCGUGCUUAACACAUGCAAGUCGAACGGAAAGGCCCUGCUUUUGUGGGGUGCUCGAGUGGCGAACGGGUGAGUAACACGUGAGUAACCUGCCCUUGACUUUGGGAUAACUUCAGGAAACUGGGGCUAAUACCGGAUAGGAGCUACUGCCGCAUGGUGGGGGUUGGAAAGUUUCGGCGGUUGGGGAUGGACUCGCGGCUUAUCAGCUUGUUGGUGGGGUAGUGGCUUACCAAGGCUUUGACGGGUAGCCGGCCUGGGAGGGUGACCGGCCACAUUGGGACUGAGGUACGGCCCAGACUCCUACGGUAGGCAGCAGUGGGGAAUAUUGCACAAUGGGCGGAAGCCUGAUGCAGCAACGCCGCGUUCGUGAUGACGGCCUUCGGGUUGUAAACCGCUUUCGCCUGUGACGAAGCGUUAGUGACGGUAAUGGGUAAAGAAGCACCGGCUAACUACGUG
RNAcentral lists this ribosomal RNA (468 nucleotides) under uncultured bacterium. RNAcentral's name for it is "partial 16S ribosomal RNA". It matches the Rfam family "Bacterial small subunit ribosomal RNA", at positions 28 to 507 of the family's 1533-position model. The record is from RNAcentral.